RNAcentral lists this unclassified non-coding RNA (5291 nucleotides) under Pomacea canaliculata. RNAcentral's name for it is "uncharacterized LOC112568992, transcript variant X3". Lineage: Eukaryota; Metazoa; Mollusca; Gastropoda; Architaenioglossa; Ampullariidae. The record is from RNAcentral.
UCACUCAAAGAGGACACUAUUGUAAGGGUCUCAUAAGAAACCAAACCUUGACCGAAAUAUUAUCUACAAGCUCUGUGUGCGUGCGUGUGUGUGUGCAUGUGUGUGUUUGUGGGCGCGACAACAUCUCCCCUCGUCAUUUAUAUCAGAUUCUUUCGAUGGAUGGAGAAGUCUCAACAGUUGCCUCAGCUUGAGUUGUCUUGGGCAGUUCCUCAGAGUAAACACUCUGUUGAGUUUGCUUGUUGCUGUCCUUUGUCGCCUGAACUCUACUCUUGUAGCGGACAGCUUCCUGUUUAUAGUCAACUAGCCUCGCAGCACAAUGAACCUCGACCCUCCACACUGUGCUUUGCUAAUAGAUGGAUAAUAAUCCAGUUUUGAAGAAAGUGGACAAAAUAUAUGAUGAAUGAAUAUUGUUGGACGAUGUAUAAAUAUUUCUUCAUAUGGCUGCUGAAUUUUAAAAUAUGUGGAGGCGAAUAUACAGAAGGGCCUACAUUUAUAUUUCCACAAAAUGCUGAUGACAUAAUAAUCGUGGCGGAGAACACGGAGCUUCGGAUACCGUUUGCAAUGGAUGGUCUGGACAACAUCCAGCAGACCAGAGACGUGGUGCUGACCGUGGAGAAAGUAAGCAUCAACAACACAAAUGAAAGACUGUGUACAAUCUUCUACACACAACAAACAAGUCCUACUUAGUGUCAGAUUCCAGCCUCCAUUGCAGGUCCGUGGUGGGGCCUGUGCCAUUGUUGUUCGCGAUGAACGUCUCUCGUCAGGAUGUUGGCACGAGGGUGAUGUGGAGGGCGAUAUGGCUGCAGGGCACUAACAAAACCUUUCUGUUGAACAUCACGUACCCAACAGAAAUCACCAGCCUGAAGUUUCACCACUCGCCAUCAGCAGCAACAGUCACUGUUGACCAGAAUUCGUCGGCAGUUGUCAGCUGCUCGUGGAACCAUGGUAACCCACCCCAGACGGUCCGUCUGCUGGACGGAAGGCGACAGGUGCUGAAUAUAUCUGAUCGCUACUCCGCUAUCAGCUACCUGGAGCACACCUGGCGGUCAGUGACCUGUGACGAUGCUGGUGUCUUCACGUGCGAGGCUGCAGGUGCUGACGUCAACAGGAGCGUGAUGCUGUUAGUCCGUUGUAAACCAGAAUUCGAGGCUGACAACCAACAGAAACAUUUCUCCAUCAAAGAGCUAACCCAGGCUGCAAGACUUUAUUUUCAUGUUAGAAUCCAUUCCCUAAACCUAACAGACUGUCAGAUGGAGAAAAUAUCGUUGGUCUCGGAUGUUACUGGAAGCUUCUACAGGACAAACGAAACCUUCUUGUGUUCUUUAAGCGGACAUCCUCCUGAUUGCACUCUGACCCUGGAACUUUUUCAAAUCAACGACACCGACAAUGGAUUAUGGCGCCUCCAGAUCACCAACGACUUUGGAACAUCAACCGUUGAGUUCACCAUCAUCGUGAUCAAGGGUACGUAACUAGUCAUCGUGAUCAAGGGUACGUAACUAGUCAUCGUGAUUAAGGGUACGUAAGUAGUCAUCGUGGUCAAGGGUACGUAACUAGUCAUCGUGAUCAAGGGUACGUAACUAGUCAUCGUGGUCAAGGGUUCGUAACUAGUUCGCACCAAUCCGGAUCAAUGAAUGGUUUUGAUCGAUCCUAGGCAGACGUACUUCCCUGCACUCUGGAGACCCACAACUUUUAUUUUGCAUAACGGUUAAUUAACUGUAUUAAAGUGGUAUGACGAAUAAUAUUUAAGUAAUGUACUUUCAGACAGACAGCAGUCCAUCUAUACACAUCUGUGUUAUUUCCUUUCGUUUAAAAAUGUUGGGUUUAAGAAAUCAACAUAUUCUAUUUAAAUGUUCACCGAGAAGGAAGGUUUCACACAUUGUGUGUGUGGGUGUGUACCUUACAGUGAACUUUACAAGAGGUCAAGUCAACACGGACAACUCUCAAGUCUUGAAGGAAGCAAAUGUGAGGGAAAAGCCAUGAAGUGUUCGGGAGGAUAUAAAUAAAUUUCAAUAGUAACUUGAUAUAAAUAAAUUUCAAUAGUAACCUGGAGUGGUGAAGUGGCCGCAAAAUAUACCGCAGUGACAGGGACAAUAUUGCGCUAGUGAAAAGAGGGCGGUCUGGGUUCAUAUUUAGCGGUCCGCAGACCCCACCCUCUCACGAUAUAACUAAAAAGCUAAUAAUAAAUCUGAUGAUGUGAUUCAUUAUUCAGACUCAUUUCAUGACAUGAUACUGUUGUUAUUGCAGCUGUUCUAUGUGGAUCUGAUGGUUAAUUUUACGGAACAUCAGCGAGAGUCGGCCGUUUGACAAAGUCGUUGGUCAGUCUGACUACUAUAUUCACCCCCAGGUCAUCUGAACAGUAGGGGUCACUGAGUGGCGAGGUUAUUUCCUUAUGUCGACACCAGUGGCGGUAAUUUGAAGCCUUAAAUAUAGGGAACAUCAUCGUGGCAGCUGAAUACUGACAAUCCCGUCAGUCGGUUGGACUCCAUCUUUGUAAAGGGAAGUUCCUCGUGAAUAGGGACAGUUCCGAGGGCUGAAGUAAGGAUCAGUUCCGAGAGGUUUAGUGUGUGGGCACAUCUGAAUAAGUCAAAACAUCUGUUCUAUGUAGAUGUAGAAUCAGUUUCUAAGAGAUUAGGGUAGAAAAUCUGUCUCCAUAAGUGUUAGUAGGCUAGGGGCAGUGGUGUUGAUAGGUGACAGGUUUUGAUAGGUUAGAAUCAAACUGUACAAGACCUAAAGGACUUGGGAAGCAGUCUUUAUAGGGCAUAAAAUGCUAAAGAAAACAGUCUCUACAAGCUCAGGUUGGCUAGGUUAUACCUCCACAAAGCCUAGUAGGCUAGACACCCAUUCACCAUAGGCACUACUUGGCAACAUCACUUUGUCGCGUGCUUAGGUGGUUGGAGGAGACCUCUCUCUCUCUUCAGAUUCAGAAAGUGAGAAAAUCUCGCUAGAGCACAACAUUUUGGUUGUCAUCAAAAGACUGUAGGCCUGCAAGCCAAAUAAUCGUUUGACUUCAUCGAAGAUAAGACAAUGAUUGAGCAUCGAUGUGUCUCAGCGAUGACCCUCGUUCGACCAUUGCGCCCUCGUUCACUUACUUGUACAUUACUUGUUCUGCAGCUGCUCCUAGAAAGUACAGCCCAAGCCCUCGUUUUCGUGUUCCCCAACCACUCUGAUGACGUCAUCACAGUUCCAGAAAACACCGAGAUUCGAAUACCGUUUGGUCUUGAGGGUCUGGAGAGUCUUCAGCAAAGUCAGCUCAUUAUAAGUGUGUACAACUCAACAGGGCAAAGUAUGCUGAAGAUAUGUUCGAUCAUUUAUUACUCGAAUAACAGGUCCUACAUGAUUUCUGACGAGAGGGGCAUCUGUGUCAACCACACCGGCCCAGUGCCUCUCAUGUUCAGGACCAGGGUGUCGCGCUGGGAUGACAAGAAUACACUUGUCUGGCAAGUGAUCGGAGUGAAAGAUCUCGAAAAAGCUUUGAGGCUCGAAGUCACGUAUCCAGCGACAGUAGUUAGCCUUACCUUCACCCAUGAACCAUCAGCGAAUACUUCAAUCGUUGAGGAGGGGUCAACUUCGGUCCAGCUGCUCUGUUUGUGGGUCAACGGCAACCCUCCCUCUGCUGCCCGUCUUCUGGACCGAGAGAGACAGGUGUUAACACAACCUGACCACGGCACAACCAAUGACAACCUUACGUACAGACUGACGUACAGUCCCACGAAAAUCAACUGCAACAGCUCCGGGGUCAUCACGUGCGAGGUUGUAGGGGCAGAGGUCAACAGAAGCGUUACACUCUUGGUCAGAUGCCCACCGGAAUUCCAAGCAGUCAAUGGCACUCCAAUUAAGUUCGACAACCGGAACAGAUCCGUGCGAAUAGAAUACAGAGUGCGAGCCCACACCAAUGUCAUCGAGAAAUGUGAAGUCAAGAAACUUCAAUCAACCUCCCAGAAAGUCCUGGCCUUCCUGCUGCCAAAGACUGCCUUCAGGUGCCUCCUGACCGGCCAGCCUCCGGACCUGAUGCUGACCGUUGUCAUGGACGACAUGAAUUAUGUCAUUGAAGGGGCAGAACAACUGUGGCGACUGGAGCUGACCAAUGACAAAGGGACAGGAAGUGUGGAGUUCUCUCUGCCCAUUGUGGACGGCAAGGAAAGCGUCUUUUCAGCACACAGUUGCAGCAUGUCUCCCGAGUUUAUCCAGUGACUGAUCAGGAAUGUACUUUUGUAAUCUCGGUGGAGCUUCGACUCAAAAUCCGGUCGUCAUGAGUACUUACAGGACACUUAACAACACUGGACGGUACAGAAUGUUAUUUGAAGUGCGAACUGUUUGGAUCUAUUGGUUGGAGUCUACGCCGCCCGCUUCACUUGUUUCGGCAGCGACCUUGAGCUACAGUGAGUAAACUAAAGCGAUGAUCAUCCUCUUGCAGCUUUAUUUGAUAACAUUUAUUCAUAUUCUCAAGGUUACUAAAUAUCUUCCCAGUAUUCUCCUGAUGUCACUGACCUUAUUCUCUGGAGUCGUUACCGUUACAUUCACAGUGAUCUCCCUUUACUGCCUGAACAGCUAGUGUUUACAGUUGACACUGUUCUUCUUUCUACAUCUUUGUUACUAUGGGAUUUGUGAUUUAAUUUUACAUAUUUGCUACUUUUUUAAACUUGAUAUACGCUUUUGUUAUUUUUUUGUUUUUAAAUUUUGUUACAAUUUUUUAAAAUCUUGUUUUGAGUCCGCCUUUGGCUGAGAUAUUGCGCUUUAUAAAUUCUUCUUGUUCUUGUUGUUCUUCUAUUAUUAUUAUAAAACAUUCCGAAUAGAUGCAUAGACUUGAAACCAUUCAAACAAUCCAGUAAUCGAAAAUAUAGCGAGGAUUGGUCUUGUCUCCGAAGGCUCAAUUUUACUGCAAAUUUUGCUAUAGUUUACGAUCAUAAUAAACAAGUUUAAGAGCCAUUUUUAAAAGGGAUAUAACUUUGACUUUGUCAUCCUAUACUUCUUUUCCGAAACUUAUAUACAAAAACUGAGUUGCUAUUAGUUAGUCACUUGCUAGUCUGUUGCUAUGCCUCGCCGCCCUGGUUGGACUGAAGUUACGCCUUUACUCCGGACUAAAAUUCGCUUAGUGUUUAGCAGCCGUAAAAUUAGUCUGGUACUAUACCCUUGCUACAUCCUUACUAAGGCUCUAUGCCCGCAUAGUGUGACCGCACCCAGACUCGUGCAUGCAGUCAUGAGUAUAUUGUUUUAUUUUGCAAUAAAGCGAUGGUGUUUAAGAAUUAUUAUGCUCAGAUUGUGUGCAGCGUAUAGCAAGAUUGACAUUAUUA